RNAcentral lists this transfer RNA (77 nucleotides) under Corynebacterium diphtheriae. Its description in RNAcentral is "tRNA-Leu". It matches the Rfam family "tRNA". Rfam says of the family: Transfer RNA (tRNA) molecules are approximately 80 nucleotides in length. Their secondary structure includes four short double-helical elements and three loops (D, anti-codon, and T loops). Lineage: Bacteria; Bacillati; Actinomycetota; Actinomycetes; Mycobacteriales; Corynebacteriaceae. RNAcentral also lists the same sequence under 47 other names. The record is from RNAcentral.
GCCCCUGUAUCCCAAUUGGCAGAGGAAACGGAUUCAAAACCCGUGCAGUGUGAGUUCGAGUCUCACCAGGGGCACCA